Molecule: ribosomal RNA, 320 nt
Filed under: Serratia liquefaciens
Lineage: Bacteria; Pseudomonadati; Pseudomonadota; Gammaproteobacteria; Enterobacterales; Yersiniaceae
Description: partial 16S ribosomal RNA
Rfam family: Bacterial small subunit ribosomal RNA
Source: RNAcentral
CUUGCUCUCUGGGUGACGAGCGGCGGACGGGUGAGUAAUGUCUGGGAAACUGCCUGAUGGAGGGGGAUAACUACUGGAAACGGUAGCUAAUACCGCAUAAUGUCUACGGACCAAAGUGGGGGACCUUCGGGCCUCAUGCCAUCAUAUGUGCCCAUAUGGGAUUAUCUANUAUGUGGGGUAAUGUCUCCCCUCNGCCACGACCCCAAGCUUAUCCGANAUGAUAAGGAGAUCCNCCGCACUGGGAACGAGAUACAGCCCCCACUCCUACGGAACGGAGGNGUAGGGAAUUUUUCGCGUGGAAUAAAGUCNGACNGAACAAC